GUGAAAUAUAGGAGUAGUCUUAGAAAGACGAUUGGGUCAGCGGCAUACAUGAACCGCGUUAAUUAUUGUUCGUUUUAAUUUAAAUCUCAUCUUGUCAUCACUGCAAUUAAGUGAGUUGAUGAGAGCAAAAUUCGAAACAGAAAACCCCAUCAAAAAAUGAAGAAUCCUUGGAAGUUAUUGAAGUUACUACCAAUUCUAGUCAUCAAACAAUUCUUCAUCUCUAAAGCUCCAUUUUUUGUUUUGGGUUUGUUGGUAAGCUACGACUUCACGGAGAAUUGGGUAAAUUCUCUAAUGAUGGAUAACCUUUCAUAUUCUCUUAAGAGUGAUAGAAUAGCUGCCAUAAUUACAAAUCUACAAGAUGGCCUAUCAGAUAUAUCUGUUAUUUUUUUUUUCUUCGGUCUCUGAAGCCUCCACUGGUAGCUUCACUAUGAUGGCUUUCUGUUCAUCUGCCACCAUCGUGAUUGAAAAUGUGCAUUUGGUUCUUUAUCAUGACUAUUGCUGUCUACACCUUUUGAAAUUUCAGAAUUUUCUGAUUCUCCUUUGUGAUCUCCUCUGCUGAGCCUGUUUGUGCCACUGUCACCACUAUACUUCUUCAAAUCUUCAUCCAAUGGUUUAGAUCUGAACUCCAGAAACACAGCACUUGGUAAUGGCUUUGUCAACACAUCAACUAGUUGGACAGUUCCAAAGACAUGACUCACUUGAAUAAUUUUCUUAGUGACAUAAUCCUAGACAAAAUGAAGAUUAGCCGCAAAAUAUUUUGACUUUGAAUGUAGAAUUGGAUUUGCAGCCAACAAUACAGCACUUAAAUUAUCACAAUAAACUAAUGGAGCUGUUGAAAGUGUAGCUCCUAUUUCAAUCAUAAAAUUCUUGAUCCAAAGCAGCUCAGCCACUAAGUCAGUCAUUGCCCUAUACUCUGCAUCAGUACCGUUCCAGGCAGCAACACCUUACUUCUUUGAACUCCACAAAAUUAGAUUACUCCCAAGAAAAACAUAGAAGCCGCCAGUGAAUGUCCUAUCAUCUAGAUGGGUCUCCUCCCUAGUCAAAAUCACUAUAGGCUUUAACUUGAUGAACAUCUGUUUUAUACAAGUGUAGACCAAAAUCGAGUAUCCCAUGCACAUAUCUUAGCACCCUUUUGACUAGCUGAUGGGGCGAGAUGAGAUAUUGCCAAUUGCUUGGGUUUGAAUUUUCAUACUAAGAAUAUUAACGUUGCAAGUAUAGACCAAACCCAACAAUCGGUCGCCGAUCAAAUUGGAAAUUCAUAAAAUGUGUCUCAACUCAAAACCAAUUUAAAACCGAGAGUAUUUGACUCCCGGGUUGCCUCCCAAGGAAUCACUUGAGGGUAAUGAGUGUGCAAAUUUCGGUUGUAGUGAUCAAGGGGUUGUCAAUGAAGAAAUGAACAUAUAAAGCAAUAAAAGAACAUGCAAAAUUGUAAUGAUUGAACUAAUAAAGAAAUUAAAGA
Arachis stenosperma is the source of this 1459-nucleotide long non-coding RNA. RefSeq lists it as uncharacterized. NCBI's taxonomy places the organism in Eukaryota, Viridiplantae, Streptophyta, Magnoliopsida, Fabales, Fabaceae. The record is from RefSeq and is a predicted model, not a curated record. The transcript has 3 exons.